UCAUAUGCUUGUCUUAAAGAUUAAGCCAUGCAUGUCUAAGUAUAAGCUUUUAUACGGCUAAACUGCGAAUGGCUCAUUAAAACAGUUAUAGUUUAUUUGAUGGUCUUUACUACAUGGAUAACCGUGGUAAUUCUAUGGCUAAUACAUGCGCACAUGCCUCUUCCCCUGGAAGGGCAGUGUUUAUUAGAUACAGAACCAACCCACCUUCCGGUGGUCCUCAGGUGAUUCAUAGUAACCGAACGGAUCGCGUUGACUUCGGUCUGCGACGGAUCAUUCAAGUUUCUGACCU
Toxoplasma gondii ME49 is the source of this 289-nucleotide ribosomal RNA. Lineage: Eukaryota; Apicomplexa; Conoidasida; Eucoccidiorida; Sarcocystidae. The record is from RefSeq and is a predicted model, not a curated record.